This 4029-nucleotide long non-coding RNA is filed under the name Brassica rapa (field mustard). RNAcentral describes it as "long non-coding RNA (BRAP_LNC005268)". The record is from RNAcentral. Lineage: Eukaryota; Viridiplantae; Streptophyta; Magnoliopsida; Brassicales; Brassicaceae.
CGUUAAGAGAGUGAAGAAACUUGGCUCCAAAUUGGACAAGUUUCUGCAAGAACUGGUCGACGAGCACAGAAGAAACAGGGGAAAAACAGAGUUCAAGAACACAAUGAUCACUCAUUUGCUUACCCUUCAAGAAUCGCAACCUGAGUACUACACUGACCAGAUCAUCAAAGGACUCGUAAUGGUUCGUUAAUUCUUUUACAUUAUUUCCUUGUUUUCAACACGUUAUUAGAAAGAAAAAAAUCAAGAUUGAAUCGUUUUCGUUAUAUGUAGGUGAUGAUGGAUGCGGGGACCGACACGACCGCACUGACAUUGGAAUGGGCCAUGGCUAACCUUCUAAAUCAUCCAGAUGUUCUAGCGAAAGCCAAGACGGAGUUAAACAACGUCGUUUCAAAAAGAGGGCGCUUGAUGGAGGAAUCUGAUACGAGCACUUGCACAUAUCUCAACAAUGUGAUUUCAGAGACUCUUCGUCUCUAUCCUGCUGGGCCAAUGCUGGUCCCACACGCGUCGUCGGUUGACUGCAAAGUUGCUGGGUAUGAGAUUCCACGUGGCACAUGGCUGUUCGUUAACGCGUGGGCUAUUCAGAGAGAUCCAAAAGUAUGGGAUGAGCCUGAGGCCUUUAAGCCGGAAAGGUUCGACAGUGAGGAGUGGAAGACCACCCAACAUGGUAAUUUUUUACCAUUCGGAAUAGGUAGAAGAGCGUGUCCUGGAAUGGGGCUGGCACAAAUUGUUUUGAGCUCAGCUUUAGGGUCAUUGAUCCAAUGUUUUGACUGGGAGAGAGAUGAAGACGUGGCAGUUGACAUGUCGGAAGGAACGGGUCUUAGUAUGCCUAAAGCUGUGCCUUUAGUUGCAAAAUGCAAGUCUUCUCCUAUCCUAGACAACGUUGUCAUUUAGUUUCAUGUAUUUUAUCAGCUUUAAUUAACGUUGCUAAUAAGAACAUAAUGAUUUCCUCGUUCUUGAUUUCUUUAGAUCUUUUCUCUGUCCCUCUCUUUCGUCUUUGUUUCCCUCAGCAUCUCCUACACUCAUUUACAUCCUUUGAGAUCAGAUCCAACGGUUGAAAGAAUGAUAAAUCCUCAUCAAUUUCCACUUCUCCCUGUGAACAAAAAACAACACAGCUUAGUCUAACCAGACCAAAACACCGUGUAGGAAUAUACAAGAGAUAUGAAAAAAGUAACUAUACAGGUGCAGUGCAUCAAGCAUAUUCUGAAAGGCUUUCUACCUUAAGCCCUCAAAAUAUAAUAAUACAAUUUUCACGGUCUCUAUUUUCUAAAAAUAGUUAGUAACAUAGUGUUUUUGUUUACUGUUUUAUUCAUUUAACCCAAAUUCAAUCCUCUAAAUUGAGUGUAGAUAUAUCUUUUUUAAAAGGAUUAUUUUAUUUUAUUGUCAAUUUUCCAAAUGUUAAUAGAAAAAUGUUUCGUACUAGGUGUCUUGUCCGCGUACGUGGAUCACAUAAUCAAUUUAUAAAUAUUUACUAAUGCAAAGGAAAUAUGAAAUUGCAUCCAUCUCAUCCUAAAUGCCUAAAACAUUAGACCUGAAAAUCAUAGAGAUAAAAAGCAAAAAACAAAAACUAUUAUAUUGAUAUAUCUUAGCAACUGCUGUUUAUUUUCUUUUCAGUUACAUGCAAGACUAGGUGAUUUUUCCGUGCUCAUGCACGGGUAUAAAUAUUUCUAAAGUAAAUAUACUACAAUAAUUGAUUGCUAUUUACUUUUAAUUUUAAAUUUAUUUAUAAUUUGUAUGCAUCAUUUAUAUUAAUAAUAUUAUAUUACUUUGAUUAUACAUAUGAUUUAUAUAUGUUAUAUCUAAUCGGUUUUGUUGUUUUUACAACCGAUUUAGUUAUCACUUGGAUAAAUUGGAUUGCAUCUUUGAAUUCAAUAAUAAUAUUUUUUAUUCUAAAUCUAUUACAAUUUUGAUUAAUUUAGGUGGUUGUUGUCAUAGAUAUGCAAAUAUAUUUUACGAAAAUUAUGUAUAACUUAAGAUAUAUUAUGCUUAGAAUGAAGUAAAAAAUAAACUAAAGUGUCUGAUUCCAAACUACAUAAAUUAAUAUAACGAUAAUAUUCUGAAGUCUCAUGCAUAUAUAUAAAUUUUACAAAAGAACUAAAUUGUAACGGUUGGUUAAUAUUUUAUUUUUAUUUUUAAUAUAUUUGAGUUGUCCUAUGAUUUAUAUUUAUAAAAUAAUUUACUGUUCUUAUAAAAUUAUAUAUUCUUAUCGUAGUUAAAUCUAUGAUUUUAGAUAUAAGUUGCAUUAGCUAGCGUUUGCGGUUGCGGGAGGACAAUUUUUUUUUUAAACCAUAUAAAUACAAAAAUAAAAAUAUUCAAUAAAUUUUUUUAAUGGAAUUAUAAAAAUACUAAAAUAUAUCUAUUAUAUUUUAAUUAAUAUUAUAAAAUUUUAAAAUAAAAAUAUUUUCUAUAAUUUUAAAAAUUAAAAACUAUAACUUACUAAAUAUAAUUUUCAUAUUUAUUAUAAUAUUAUGAUUUUUGAUAUUUUUAUAAUUAUAUAAAAUGUAAAUAUUGUUAAUUUAUUAUUUAACCGCUGAUGUAUUUGGUAGUUAAUCAGUCAUAAGUAUACCGCAAACGUACAAAUUUCUAACCGCAUAACCAGUCGUACAAAUUUCUUAAAACCGCUAGAAACCGCAACCAUCCGCAUCCGCAAACACCCGCAGCCGCAACCGCAACCGCUGCGUUUGAACCAGUCAGACCUUAAUAAAGUGAAAAUUCAAAAGCAAUGGAGCAUUGGGUGAAAAUUGAUUUGUUUUUCACUGCGACUAAUGGCUUCGAUGAUCAUACGAAUUAAAAAAAAUACUUCGGUAAUUUAGGACUAGGGGCAUCUGUGGGAUUAUGAAAUGUCCAACAGUGGUUUCCUAUAUACCUAAUUAAAUUUAGUUUUAUAGGUGUGUAGUGCAAAUUCCAUUUUUUUAAUUGACCGAUCCCUGUGCUACAAAAAACAAUUAAUAUAAAAAAUAUAAGAAACGUGGUGCACAGCCUGGCUUAUGCAAAACACAACGUGGGCUGCUCACGUUCUACAUCUUUUGACUUUGGACUCCAUAAAAGCUCCAGGUAGAUGUGCACACAAAGCUACAAAAUCAGAAAAAAGCGACAAGAUGUUUACUUUGCUUUCGUUCGCUCUGGUCGUCGGAUUCAUUGCAGCGGCUUUUUAUCUUUUUCGAUCAAAGCUGAAUGUUCCACCAAGUCCGAUAGGUUUCCCGGUGAUCGGACACCUCCACCUGCUCAAAGAUCCAGUUCACCGUUGCCUGCAUGACCUCUCUCGAAACCUCGGUCCAGUGUUUUCGCUCAAGCUAGGCUCUUGUCGAGCCGUGGUCGUCACGUCAGCUUCCGCAGCGGAGGAGUUUUUAUCUCACGAAAAUGAUGUUGUUUUCGCAAACAGGCCUAUCAGUACUUUGGGUAAAUACGUUGCUUACAACAACUCUAUAGUCAGCGUAUCUCCCUACGGAGACCACUGGCGAAACCUCCGCCGUAUCUGCACCGUGGAGAUCUUCUCCGCCGCUCGUCUCAAAGAAUCGCUCGAGAUCCGGAGAGACGAAGUGAGGUCUCUCGUUCAGACGAUCCACAAGGCGACGACAUCAGGAGGAGGAGACAACUCUGUCCGUGUGGAGCUACGACCGUUGCUCUCUGGGUUUACUUUGAACGUCCUUAUGAGAACGGUCGCUGGAAAAAGAUACUACGGCGAGGAUAACGCGGAAGCAAAGGAAGUGCGGGAGCUGAUAAGCGAAACGUUCGAGCUCGCAGGGUGUACUUAUGCUGGUGACUUUCUUCCGAUUCUGAAGCUGUUCGAUUACAAUGGAUACGUUACGAGAGUGAAGACACUUGGCUCCAAAUUGGACAAGUUUCUGCAAGAACUGGUGGACGAGCACAGAGGAAACAGAGGAAAAACAGAGUUCAAGAACACAGUGAUCACUCAUUUGCUUACUCUUCAAGACUCGCAACCUGAGUACUACACUGACGAGAUCAUCAAAGGACUCGUAAUGGUAAGUUAAUUACUAUAUAUUUCUUUGGUUUCAACUCAAAAAAUAAAUC